AGGUGCGAUCAUACCAGCACUAAUGCACCGGAUCCCAUCAGAACUCCGCAGCUAAGCGUGCUUGGGCGAGAGUAGUACUAGGAUGGGUGACCUCCUGGGAAGUCCUCGAGUUGCACCUCUUU
Molecule: ribosomal RNA, 122 nt
Filed under: Vigna radiata
Lineage: Eukaryota; Viridiplantae; Streptophyta; Magnoliopsida; Fabales; Fabaceae
Source: RNAcentral